RNAcentral lists this ribosomal RNA (253 nucleotides) under uncultured bacterium. RNAcentral's name for it is "partial 16S ribosomal RNA". It matches the Rfam family "Bacterial small subunit ribosomal RNA", at positions 524 to 776 of the family's 1533-position model. The record is from RNAcentral.
GACGAACCGUGCAAACGUUAUUCGGAAUCACUGGGCUUAAAGGGCGCGUAGGCGGGCCGCCAGGUCCGGGGGGAAAGCCUCCAGCUCAACUGGAGAAGUGCCUUGGAUACCGGCGGCCUCGAGGGAGGUAGGGGCGUGCGGAACUUCGGGUGGAGCGGUGAAAUGCGUAGAUAUCCGAAGGAACACCGGUGGCGAAAGCGGCGCGCUGGAUCUCUUCUGACGCUGAGGCGCGAAAGCCAGGGGAGCAAACGGG